AGGGAUAACUUGCACAGAUUUAGCACUUUCUGCAUUAGCGAAGCAGCCCGGUAGAUCCAUCGCUGUGCCUGAAUCACUUGGAAAACCUCAAGUCUCAGUUGCAAUUGUCGUAGAGCACUACAGUUUUUCACAUUUUAAAGUUCAAGGACUACCAUUGUUUAAUUGUUGUCGGAAGCUUUCCCCAAGACUGCAGGAGAAUUUUGGAUAAACUUCCCUCCCCUCUGCCUUUAAAUUCGUGAGUGUAAAGAUCUCGGGUGAGCUGUCCUGGGCCCAUCUUGCAAUCACAAAGAAGGUAUGGCGUACCAGAUGGUGACCACGCGCUCGCCAACCUGCGCCCGCUGUCGCAACCAUGGCAUCACCGUACCCCUGAAGGGACACAAGAAGCUGUGUCAGUGGCAGGGCUGCCAGUGUGACAAGUGCAUUCUCAUCCUGUUGCCAUCUCCAGUCGCCAGUUGCCAUGUAAGCCCUGC
Molecule: long non-coding RNA, 470 nt
Organism: Mobula hypostoma (lesser devil ray)
Lineage: Eukaryota; Metazoa; Chordata; Chondrichthyes; Myliobatiformes; Myliobatidae
Exons: 4
Source: RefSeq, a predicted model, not a curated record